RNAcentral lists this ribosomal RNA (110 nucleotides) under Escherichia coli. Lineage: Bacteria; Pseudomonadati; Pseudomonadota; Gammaproteobacteria; Enterobacterales; Enterobacteriaceae. The record is from RNAcentral.
CCUGCCCGGNCGGUGGUCCCACCUGACCCCAUGCCGAACUCAGAAGUGAAACGCCGUAGCGCCGAUGGUAGUGUGGGGUCUCCCCAUGCGAGAGUAGGGAACUGCCAGGC